This 622-nucleotide unclassified non-coding RNA is filed under the name Hevea brasiliensis (rubber tree). The record is from RNAcentral. Lineage: Eukaryota; Viridiplantae; Streptophyta; Magnoliopsida; Malpighiales; Euphorbiaceae.
AAGGUCUGGACAACUUCAUAACUGCAAUAGAGAGAGAAAAAAAUGAAUGGAUAAUUUGAUAAGUGUCAAGAUAGCUGAUAAAGUUAACAAACAAAUAGAUAAAGUAGUUUAAAUUAAAAGGAGAUAAUCAAUUGCAUAAAAUAUUAGCUCAUACACACAUAUCCUUAAAUGAGAGAUCUACUUUCUUGGUAUAUAUCCUUAAUUCAACCUUUAACCUCCGGAUUAUAUGCAGAAUUAAGGAAAGAAAAUUGGUAUCCUUUUAUGAUAAGCAAAUGUGCAUAUGUAUUGACUGCCCCAGAAGGAAGGAAAUUGUCUGGGAGAGUAGAGGUCCUUAAUGGCUUCACUUCUAACAUGUGUCAAAAAGCAAGAAAAAAUUUAAAUAUUUCAGGCAUCGAUUUUCACCAACAAAUGACCAUCAAUAUGAUAUGCGAGCGCACUACCUUCCCUAAUAAACAUAUUCAUUACCAAGCUUUUAGUUUUUUGGUUCUAGUUUUUUGACAAUAACAUCUAAUCUAGGGUAUUGACCAAUGUUGAUAAACAGUUCAAUAUUAAGACAUCAACUUUACAAAGUUUGAUAGUUGAUGUGAAUUGUGCACCAACUUUUUACUGACCUUGUACUCCA